UUAGAGCCUAACGUCAUCGCAGGCUGCUGAUAGAGAGAAAAAGAAGACUUUUUAGCCUUUUCUAGGUUUCGUGCUUGUAUUGUUUGAGGUGUGGGCGCCUGUGGUUUCCAGAAACGGUUUCGGAUUACAGGCGGCCUUUAGGCGUUGUCUAUUUUUGUCGUGUAGACAGGCUGUUGAGCAAAGAAAUGGAGCUGCCGAAACAAAAUGGAGCCGACGUCUGGUGCGGUUGGUCUGAGAAAGAGUAUACAGAUUUGCUGAUUUAUUUGGUGGCUACAGUUUUUUCAGAUUAGUUGCGGGAAAGUGUAGGCCGCGGUCUCUCCGUGUGAGCUGCGAAAUACGUUUGUUUCGAUGAGGAAAACAAACCGUGGAAACAGUGAAACCUUUCUUAAAUUAUGCUGAUGAGCUUCAACGGGUGAGGAGAAGAAAAUGGAGGCCAUUUGUUCUGGCGGCAGUGGCGCACAUUUGAGAAAAUCGUUAGAGCCGCUAAAUCUUGCAGUCAUUUCAUUGCCUGCACUCAAGUAAAUAUCAGCCGGAGGUCAUUACUGAAUAGCGUUAUGUGUCCCAGAAGCAAAAAUGUAACACGGUGAGUAUUGUGCAGUAGUCAAGUGGCUCUUCCUUGAGACAAUUGCUGAGGAGAUUUAGGAUGGAUAUGGACCGAAUCUGUGAACGAGGGAUGAAUUUGCUUUCGAAGGCUCUAGCACUCGCCCCUAGUUCUUCUUACCACUUGUUUGUAUCUGUUGAAAGCGACGUUUAUUUUGGGUAGGUGUGAGCGUUGCAUGGCUCUCUCUUUCAACACUUCCCCCACCCCAAAUUUCUACCACAAUGCAAUGAUCCAUCCGAGGAAGACGGUCCAGACCCUGCCGGCAUUCUUUCAGUCAGUUCCUUCAUGCGAGAGAUCAUGGAAUGAAUGUUGGUAGCAUGAUCACCCAGUUGUCCGCCAAAAUAUCUUUCCAACCCCCAACCCCAUCAUGGUUCGGAUAAAAAUAUAUUUAGCUGAAGCCAGAUGGCCUCUAUCUGUCAUUGGUGUUUUCCGGAAAUGGUUCAAGAUCUUUCUUUACAAAGUGCUACUCUGGGUAAGUGAUGAAGAAAGCGAAAAAAGGUGCGAAACUGGGAAAAUGAAAAACAAACGCAGACGAGCAUGAGAGAAAUGAGGGACGUGCAUAUGUUUGAGAGAUGCAGAAAAUUAUUGUCUGAAGAAAUGUAUUAAGAAUGCAACUGAAAGCAGUGAGGGAGCAUCUGUAAAUAUUAGCUAUUCUCAGAUAAAACGCUAAUCUUUUAGUAAAUUUCUGGUAGGGCUAUGCCCCUGGAAAAAAUGAGGGCCAGUAUUUUUCAUUCUCACAUGUUCAGGCACGUGAAAAGUUAACUAUUUAUUAACUUUCAUAUGGCAGUCAUAAAAGAAACCUUGCAAGUGGUAUUUCUAUUGUAAAUCUAUAUAGAUGCCAUUCACUGUUUCCAUUUGCAGUAUGUGGGUAAUAAAUACAAUAACAAAUGUACAGUAUAACUAAAUGAUGGAGGAGUUUGACUCCAGUUAAUAAUCUGUAACAUCCUGUCAAAAGAUAGUCCUGAAGAUUGGAUAAAAUAUCUCUGAGUUUCUGGUAAUUCCUGUAAUAAGCUACAUGUUCAAGAGUAAGCUAUAAUAACCAUCCGACUAAACAACGAUUGCUGAAAUGUGAGUCUUGUGCUCCUUUUAUUCAAUAGGCAGCUUGGCUUUGUUCCAACUGAAUAGUUGAUAUGGAAGACUAUCGCUGGAUUUCUGAGGAUGACUAGUAUCCCUAAUACCAUCCCAGUGAAAGUCAGCGUCAAGCUGGUGAUUUACCAUGAGAAUAUGCUGGCCUCAGUAGCUCAGCCAUUCAUUGAGUAAUCAGAGCUGGCUGUUUGGAACCCCAUAUUACAGUGAAAAGGUAAAUAUUUGCAUUUGAAUUAGUCAUGCACCAAGCCUCUGCAUUCCUUUCCCAGGAAGUGCUCCAUAUUUGCUUUAAAGGUGGCAAUACCAUAGACAAAAGUGAAAAUAAGCCAUAAAGUACAGCAUUUGCAACAGUUCACAUAUUAAGAGUUUUUAAAACUUCCAGUGAAAUAUUAAGCAACACACACAAGAUGCUGGAGGAACUCAGCAGAUCUAUAGAUGCUGCCUGACCUGCUGAGUUCCUCCAGCAUCUUUUGUGUGUUGCUUUGGAAUUCCAGCAUCUGCAUUUUCUUGUGUCAAUUAAAUAUUGUUUUGUGUAAUUGAAAUAUACAGUAAUAACUUCCUUUACAUAUUUCUUAAGAAUUCCAGCAACUUUUUCAUUUAUAUUGUGACUGCUUUAUUGACUUUAAUGUGCAGAAAACAAUGAAAUUAAUGUAUUUCAGAAAAUGUUAUUUCUGUGUAACAAUGUAUACAUGUGAUACCCUUAAAUUCUGUAAAAUUUAGAAGCAUUUCAUUGGAGUAUUGUUUGACAGAAUUUUUAAAAAGGUAUUUAAAGAAAUAAUGGAUCAGAGGAUUAAAUGCUCUCAAAUAAAGAAGACUGAAGUGUAGAUUUUAGAGAAGGAAUUCCAGUAUACAAGGCCUUGGUAGCUGAAGGCACUCAGUCAGUGAUAGGACAACUAAAAUUAUGAAUGGUCUUGCAGAAUGGUUUGUAGUAAAGUUACCAUAUUGAUCCAAAGAUGCAAUUUCAAGAUCCACUGUUGAGAAUUUAAACUCUUAAUUAAAUUCUUGCAGGGAGGUUUGCUUGUGCUGAUAGAGAGAGUUUCAACUAAUUUGGGAGGGGAAUCUGAUACAGUAGAUAGAUUGAUGGAGGAGAUGUACAGUUCAGAAUGAGAUUUAUUGUCACCAACUAAUGACAUGAAAUUUAUUUUAUGGCAGUACAGUGCAAAGACAAAAUUACUAUAUAAAAUACCGAUCAGAAAUCUGAUGGCAGAGAGGAAGAAGCUGUUUCUGAAUCAUUGAGGGUGGGUCUUCAGGCUCCUGUGCCUUCUCCAAUGGUAGUAAUAAGAAGAGGGCAUAUUCCAGAUAAUAUAGGAGCAGAAUUAGACCAUUCAGCCCAUCAAGUCUGCUUCAUUAUUUGUUCAUGGCUGAUUUAUUUUUUCUUUUUCAAUACCAUCCAUCUGUCUUCUCCCCACGUCCACCCUAUCCAAGCCUUUCAAUAGUCAAUAGGUUUCAAUAAGAUCCUCCCACUCAUUCUAAACUCCUAUGAGUACAGGUCAAGAGCCAUCAAACACCGAUGAAGGCCUUGCAUGAUAGUUAAAUCCGGAAGUUAGAUCAGUCCAGGAGUUGGAGCAGAUGCAAGGCAUACAGGAAGAAUAGAGGGCUAAAUUGCAUCUAUUUUAAUGCAUAGAAUCUUGGCUAGUAAGACAGAGAACGUCUAUCUUUGAGCAACAGAUAAUGUUGCUAUCAUGGGCAGGGUUGAAAGAAGGUAGGGCUGGCAACUCGACAUAGCAGGAUAAAGAAUAUUCGGGUAUGACAGCAGGGUAUAAGCAGUGGUGUUGCAGUCUGGAUUGUUUAGAAGUCUUCAUAAGAGAGGGUAGAUGGGUAGAACACAAGAAUGAAAAGGGGCACUCAUGUUGCUGAGAGUACAGGCCAUCUAACAGUUAAUAAGGGAUAAAGAGGCAGAUAUGCAGACAAAUCAAAGAUGUAAGUGUGAUAGCAUUAUAGUUGGGGCAUUUCAAGUUCCUGGGUGUCAAGAUCUCUGAGGAUCCAACCUAGUUCCAACAUUAUUGAUGUAGUUAUAAAGAAGGCAAGACCGCGGCUAUACUUCAUUAGGAGAUUGAAGAGAUUUGGCACAUCAACAAAUACUCAAAACUUCUAUAAAUAUACCAUGGAGAGCAUUCUGACAGGCUGCAGCACUGUCUGGUAUGGAGGGGCAACUGCACAGGACCGAAAGAAGUUGCAGAAGGUUGUAAAUCUAGUCAGGUCCAUCUUGGCUACUAGCCUACAAAGCACCCAGGACAUCUUUAGGGAGUGGAGUCUCAGAAAGGCAGUGUCCAUUAUUAAGGACCUCCAGCACCCAGGGCACGCCCUUUUCUCACUGUUAACAUCAGGUAGGAGGUACAGAAGCCUGAAGGCACACACUGUGAUUCAGGAAUAGCUUCCCUGCCCUCCCCCCCCCCCCCCCCCCCCACCACCAUCCGAUUCCUAAAUAGACAUUGAAUCUUUAGACACUACCUCACUUUUUUUUAAUAUAGUAUUUCUGUUAUUUGCACUUUUUAAUCUAUUUAAUAUAUGUAAUUGUUCAUUAUUUUUUUCUGUCUGCUAGAUUAUGUAUUGCAUUGAACUGCUACUGCUAAGUUAACGAAUUUCAUGUCACAUGCUGGUGAUAAUAAACCUGAUUCUGAUUCAAUUUACCCCUGAUAUUAACUGGGAUUAUUUUACUGUGAAAAUCUUAAAGGGGCUUGAAUUUUUUAAAUUCAUUCAGGAGAGCUCAUUGAGCUCGUCCUACAAGAGAAAGGGUAACACUGGACGUAAUCUCAAAGUGGGCAAGUGAAUGAAGUUUCAGUGGGAGGGAUUUUGGAGACAGACUAUAACUCUGUAGGUUUUAAGGUAGCAUGGGAUGAGGAAAGUGUGGAAAUUAAGGUCCUGAACUGAAGGAAGGCUAAUUUCAAUGUCACAGGACGGGAGCUGACAGAAGUAGACUGGAAGCAAUUACAUAUAUACCCAACAAGUGGGAGCACUCUGACAAAGGUGAAAAUGAGAAUAGUAAGUCUGGAUGUCAGGAGAUAUAGAUGAGGAUCACCAGAAUUCAAAGUAAAUUUAGUGUGUGUGUGUGUGUAUAUGUGUAUAUAUAUAUAUAUAUAUAUAUAUAUAUACACACACACACCAUAUACUACUUAGACAUUUUUCUCCAGGCAUUCACAAGAAUAAAAUACAAUUGAACUUUGCAAAAAUCUGUACAUAAAAAAAGACUGACAAAAUAACUGAUCUGCAAGAGAAAACAAACUGCUCAUAAAAGUUGUAACAAGUCCUUAAAAGAGAGUCUGUAGGCCAUAGGGUCAGAUCAGAGUAAUGAUAACUGAAGUUAUCAAUGUCAUUUUGGGAGGCUGCUGGUUGUAGGUUAAUAUGUUCCUGACUCUAGUGGUGAGGGACCUAAAGCUUCUAUAACUCUGAUGGCCUGGAUGGUGGGGGGGGGGGGGGGGGGGUACCAGUGAGAGUAUGGGUAUUAGAGACCAAGGAGCCAAUGUGAGUAUGGGGGCCAGAGGAUGUAGAUGAGGUGUGAAAUUAAAACUCCUCAUUUGCAUUCAUUAAAGAAAGGACACUGCAGUUAGAGAAUUCAGCAAGGAGUCAGUGAAAUUGUAGAUGUCGUUAAAAAAGAAUUAUUACAAUCCCGAAAGAGGCAUUUUUUUAAAAAAACAGAACCAGAUGGCAUAUGUCCCAGAAUGCUUUGGGAGGCAAGGAGAUUGUUGGGGCUCUGACUUUUUUUUCCACUCUUUGCUGACCAGCUGAUUCAAGAAGCGCAGCAGUUUUAAAAAUGUGCCUGUUCAAGAAAGGCAGCAGGGAUAAUUCAUAUAAUUCCAGAUCUGUGAUCUAACAUCAAUGGUAUGGAAGGUUCAUUGAGAAAAUUUCUGAGGGACAGGGCUGACCUACCCGAGUGGAGCUAUAUUAAUUGAAAGAUAUUCAGCAUGACUGUUGACAAAUGUUAUAGUGCUGAGAAACUCAAGGCAAAGGGGAUAAGGGAGAGCUGCUUUUGUGAUUGGAAGCCUCUGACCAAUAGUGGACCACAGAGAAGAGUGUAGGGACCAUUGUUGUUUGUAAUGUAAUUUAAUUUUGGUUGCAAAUGUAGGAGGUAAAAUUAAUAAGUUUACAGAUGUCACAAAGUUGUUACUUCUGUUGAUUGUGAGGUUGCUUGUCUUAAUGUACAGGUUGUUCAGAUGGAAAAUGGCUGGUCAACAACAGGAAUUCAUCCUAAUGUAAAGAAGGACUAACGAUGGUAGGACUUAAGCAAUGAAUCUUAGGGUUUUGUGACAUAUUAAGGAACAGUGUGACUUUGGUGUAUAAAUCCAAAGAUCUCUGAAGGUGGCAGCACAGAUGGGUGAGCUGAUGAAGAAGGCAUCCGGGAUUUUUGACUUCAUUAGUCAGGCCUGGAGCAAGAAGGUGACACUGUGGUAUUAUAAAAUAUAAGUUUGACCACUGUUGGAGUGCUAGGUACAGUUCCAAUCACCACAGUAUGGGAUUGCACAAGGCAGGGUGCAGAGGAGAUUUAUCAAGACUUUGCCUUGGUUGGAGUAUUGUGGAAAGGUGAGACGUUUUCCUUGGUACCAAGAUGUCUUAGGGGAACUUAAUAGAGGUAUUCAUAUUGUGAUGGUACAGAUCGGAUUGAUAGUGGGAAACUUCCUCACAGCAGAGAAGUAUAAAAUUACAGGGCAUAGGUAUGGAUAAGGAGUAAAAUAGUUUGAGGGAACCUGGGGUCUUCUGUCUCUCUCCCGCCCCCCCCCCCCCAACAGAGGGUGGUUGGAAUAUGCAGAGGAUGUUGGAGGGAGAUACUCCCAAAACAUUUAGAUUACUAGAUGAGCACUUGAAUUGCCACAGCAUAGAAUGCCAUAGAUCAAGUGUCCAUAAUUGAGAUUAAUAUAGAUGGAUGUUUGAUAAUUAGCAUGGAUCUGAUGGGCUGAAGGACCUGUUUCUGUGUUGUAUCCCGCUGAGUCUCUAUGACUGUAGGACUCAGACAAAAGGGAAAGUAAUGAGGUGAUAGAAGUGCAAUAACAAGAUAAACUGCCAAAUUGGAGUGUAGAACAAUGUGAUUUAAUAUAGAGAUUAAAACUGAGGGCAUAGGGCAAAUAGUUGUGAUGAAAUUAAUGAAACAUGGACAUGGAGACACUGAGGAAAAUCUGUCAAAAAAAAGUAUGCUACGUAUAUUGGAAUCGCCAGCCGGUGGUGUAGUGGCAUCCGCACCAGAAUGAGACAAGUGAUCCCAAGUUCGAAUCCAGCCGGCUCCUUGCACAUUUUCCAUCUGUGCUGGGUGAGCGUCAAGCUGGCAACUGCCUUGUAAAACAAACGCUAAAGAAACAGCAAGGCUGCUGCCCAAUGUGCCUAUAGGCAUGGGGAGGAACAUGUAUUAGAAGAGUUUUCAUAAAGAGGGGAGGCAGCGAGUCAAUAAAGAACAAAUAGCAAUUGGCAGGGCUCAUACCAUUUUGACUGAAUAUAGGAUCACUUAGUAAUAGACUAAGACAACUGUGCUGCUCCAAAGAGUGUUAUAUGAGGCAAUUCUUACCCUUGCCAUUAGGCUCUAUAAUGAGUCAACCCAUAGCCAGGGAAAUGAUGACCCCCCCCCCCACCUGUUACCUGAGGUAACUUAUUUUUUAUUCUACUUCUAAUAUUUAUGUAUCUGUGCAUUUGUAAUGCUACUAUGACACUGUAUUUUCCUUUGGGAUUAAUAAAGUAUUAUCUCUUA
Molecule: long non-coding RNA, 7358 nt
Organism: Hypanus sabinus (Atlantic stingray)
Lineage: Eukaryota; Metazoa; Chordata; Chondrichthyes; Myliobatiformes; Dasyatidae
Exons: 2
Source: RefSeq, a predicted model, not a curated record